RNAcentral lists this ribosomal RNA (253 nucleotides) under uncultured bacterium. Its description in RNAcentral is "partial 16S ribosomal RNA". It matches the Rfam family "Bacterial small subunit ribosomal RNA", at positions 524 to 776 of the family's 1533-position model. The record is from RNAcentral.
AACGUAGGACGCGAGCGUUAUCCGGAGUUACUGGGCGAAAAGCGCGGGCAGGCGGUCUGACAAGUCUGAUGUGAAAUCUCCGGGCUUAACCGGGAGAGGCCAUUGGAAACUGACAGGCUGGAGGGCAGUAGAGGUAGGCGGAAUUCCGGGUGGAGUGGUGAAAUGCGUAGAGAUCCGGAGGAACACCAGAGGCGAAGGCGGCCUACUGGGCUGCACCUGACGCUGAGCCGCGAAAGCCAGGGGAGCGAACGGG